Molecule: ribosomal RNA, 384 nt
Filed under: Triticum aestivum (bread wheat)
Lineage: Eukaryota; Viridiplantae; Streptophyta; Magnoliopsida; Poales; Poaceae
Description: partial small subunit ribosomal RNA
Source: RNAcentral
AUGACCGGAAGCAAGGACUUGGUGGUGAACGUGCACAAAGUUUCAUCUAUGCCCAACAAUGUCGAGUGGGGUGACGCCUCAUCCUCUAAGGUAUUGGGACUUGGCAAGGUGGUAAUCUCUCAUGAUCUCAUGAUCGAGAAGGUCAUGCUUGUUGAGUCCCUUGCAUACAAUUUACUUUCCGUUCGUCAACUUGCAAUCAUGGGCUUUGCCACUUUCUUUGACACUAGCAAAAAUGCCCGUGCGUUGCGACGGGAAAAAAAUUACAUGCCCAUCCACCACUCACCUUGCGGCGCAACUGCCAGUUGGAUCAUUGGAGGAAGUGUUCUACUAACCAUCGCAGAGCCUUGCUGGUUAAAUCCUUAUUGUCCAGGGCAGCACGGGUGA